GCGGACGGGUGACUAACACGUAGGUGAUCUACUUUGAAGUUGGGGAUAACCAUUGGAAACAGUGGCUAAUACCGAAUAAGCUGUAUUAUUUUGUUGAUACAGGAAAGGCGCUUUUGGCGCUGCUUUGAAAUGAGCCUGCGGCUGAUUAGCUUGUUGGUGGGGUAAAGGCCUACCAAGGCGACGAUCAGUAGCCGGCCUGAGAGGGUGAACGGCCACACUGGGACUGAGACACGGCCCAGACUCCUACGGGAGGCAGCAGCUAAGAAUCUUCCGCAAUGGGCGAAAGCCUGACGGAACGACAUCGCGUGGGUGAAGAAGGCCGAGAGGUUGUAAAGCCCUUUUAUAGGUGAGGAAUAAGGUUUACAGGAAAUGGUAGAUUGAUGACGUUAACCUAUGAAUAAGCCCCGGCUAAUUACGUGCCAGCAGCCGCGGUAAUACGUAUGGGGCAAGCGUUGUUCGGAAUUAUUGGGCGUAAAGGGCACGCAGGCGGAUGUAUAAGUCUGGUGUGAAAUCUAACAGCUUAACUGUUAAAUUGCACUGGAAACUGUAUGUCUUGAAUUGCAGAGGGGAGUUCGGAAUUCUUAGUGUAGGGGUGGAAUCUGUAGAUAUUAAGAAGAACAUCGGUGGCGAAGGCGGAACUCUAUCUGACAAUUGACGCUGAGGUGCGAAAGCGUGGGGAGCAAACAGGCUUAGAUACCCUGGUAGUCCACGCCGUAAACGUUGUACACUAGGUAUUGGGUGUCAAAACUCAGUGCCGAAGCUAACGCAUUAAGUGUACCGCCUGGGAGUAUGCCGGCAACGGUGAAACUCAAGGAAUUGACGG
Molecule: ribosomal RNA, 823 nt
Filed under: uncultured bacterium
Lineage: Bacteria
Description: bacterial SSU rRNA
Rfam family: Bacterial small subunit ribosomal RNA
Source: RNAcentral